UACGUAGGGCGCAAGCGUUGUCCGGAAUUAUUGGGCGUAAAGAGCUCGUAGGCGGUUUGUCGCGUCUGUUGUGAAAGCCCGGGGCUUAACUCCGGGUUUGCAGUGGAUACGGGCAGGCUAGAGGCAGGUAGGGGAGAACGGAAUUCCCGGUGUAGCGGUGAAAUGCGCAGAUAUCGGGAGGAACACCGGUGGCGAAAGCGAGCUGCUGGAUCUCUACUGACGCUGAGGCGCGAAAGCCAGGGGAGCAAACGGG
This 253-nucleotide ribosomal RNA is filed under the name uncultured bacterium. RNAcentral's name for it is "partial 16S ribosomal RNA". It matches the Rfam family "Bacterial small subunit ribosomal RNA", at positions 524 to 776 of the family's 1533-position model. The record is from RNAcentral.